AGUCGACGGACCCUUCGGGGUUAGUGGCGGACGGGUGAGUAACACGUGGGAACGUGCCUUUUGGUUCGGAAUAGCUCCUGGAAACGGGUGGUAAUGCCGAAUGUGCCCUUUGGGGGAAAGAUUUAUCGCCAUUAGAGCGGCCCGCGUCUGAUUAGCUAGUUGGUGAGGUAAAGGCUCACCAAGGCGACGAUCAGUAGCUGGUCUGAGAGGAUGACCAGCCACAUUGGGACUGAGACACGGCCCAAACUCCUACGGGAGGCAGCAGUGGGGAAUCUUGCGCAAUGGGCGAAAGCCUGACGCAGCCAUGCCGCGUGAAUGAUGAAGGUCUUAGGAUUGUAAAAUUCUUUCACCGGGGACGAUAAUGACGGUACCCGGAGAAGAAGCCCCGGCUAACUUCGUGCCAGCAGCCGCGGUAAUACGAAGGGGGCUAGCGUUGCUCGGAAUUACUGGGCGUAAAGGGAGCGUAGGCGGACAUUUAAGUCAGGGGUGAAAUCCCAGAGCUCAACUCUGGAACUGCCUUUGAUACUGGAUGUCUUGAGUGUGAGAGAGGUAUGUGGAACUCCGAGUGUAGAGGUGAAAUUCGUAGAUAUUCGGAAGAACACCAGUGGCGAAGGCGACAUACUGGCUCAUUACUGACGCUGAGGCUCGAAAGCGUGGGGAGCAAACAGGAUUAGAUACCCUGGUAGUCCACGCCGUAAACGAUGAUUGCUAGUUGUCGGGAUGUUUACAUCUCGGUGACGCAGCUAACGCAUUAAGCAAUCCGCCUGGGGAGUACGGUCGCAAGAUUAAAACU
RNAcentral lists this ribosomal RNA (793 nucleotides) under Caulobacter sp. RNAcentral's name for it is "bacterial SSU rRNA". It matches the Rfam family "Bacterial small subunit ribosomal RNA", at positions 60 to 901 of the family's 1533-position model. The record is from RNAcentral. Lineage: Bacteria; Pseudomonadati; Pseudomonadota; Alphaproteobacteria; Caulobacterales; Caulobacteraceae.